Molecule: ribosomal RNA, 484 nt
Filed under: uncultured bacterium
Lineage: Bacteria
Description: partial 16S ribosomal RNA
Rfam family: Bacterial small subunit ribosomal RNA
Source: RNAcentral
AUUGAACGCUGGCGGCAGGCCUAACACAUGCAAGUCGAGCGGAUGAAGGGAGCUUGCUCCUGGAUUCAGCGGCGGACGGGUGAGUAAUGCCUAGGAAUCUGCCUGGUAGUGGGGGAUAACGUCCGGAAACGGGCGCUAAUACCGCAUACGUCCUGAGGGAGAAAGUGGGGGAUCUUCGGACCUCACGCUAUCAGAUGAGCCUAGGUCGGAUUAGCUAGUUGGUGGGGUAAAGGCCUACCAAGGCGACGAUCCGUAACUGGUCUGAGAGGAUGAUCAGUCACACUGGAACUGAGACACGGUCCAGACUCCUACGGGAGGCAGCAGUGGGGAAUAUUGGACAAUGGGCGCAAGUCUGAUCCAGCCAUGCCGCGUGUGUGAAGAAGGUCUUCGGAUUGUAAAGCACUUUAAGUUGGGAGGAAGGGCAGUAAGUUAAUACCUUGCUGUUUUGACGUUACCCACAGAAUAAGCACCGGCUAACUUCGUG